This 320-nucleotide unclassified non-coding RNA is filed under the name fungal sp. Its description in RNAcentral is "partial internal transcribed spacer region". The stretch from base 1 to 46 matches the Rfam family "Eukaryotic small subunit ribosomal RNA", at positions 1786 to 1831 of the family's 1831-position model. Lineage: Eukaryota; Fungi. The record is from RNAcentral.
AAGUCGUAACAAGGUUUCCGUAGGUGAACCUGCGGAAGGAUCAUUAUCACGUAUCCACGUAUAAACCAUCGCGAACCGUUACCUUUGGGGGAGAAUAACCGUGGGAGACAAGCACAUGAACUCUUUCUUGUGAUUUAUAGUUCGCUUGUCCUCUCCAGAGUGCGACUCGUUAUUCUUCUCUGAAGUGUAUUUUUUUAAAUCACUCACUAUUAACCUUUUGAACCCAUUUUAAACUCUGAACUGAUCUAUUUCUUACUCUUCGGAGAAGAAAUUCAUUACGAAACAAAGAACAACUCUUAGCAACGGAUAUCUUGGUUCUC